CAGAGGGUGCAAGCGUUAAUCGGAGUUACUGGGCGUAAAGGGCGCGUAGGCGGUUUGUUGGGUGUGAUGUGAAAGCCUUGGGCUUAACCUGAGAAGUGCAUCGCAAACUAAUAGACUGGAGUAGAUGAGAGGGUGGCGGAAUUUCCGGUGUAGCGGUGAAAUGCGUAGAGAUCGGAAGGAACGUCAAUGGCGAAGGCAGCCACCUGGCAUCAUACUGACGCUGAGGCGCGAAAGCGUGGGGAGCGAACAGGAUUAGAUACCCUGGUAGUCCACGCUGUAAACGAUGAUGACUAAAUGUUGCUGGGGGAACCUAGCAGUAUUGAAGCUAACGCGAUAAGUCAUCCGCCUGGGAAGUACGGCCGCAAGGUUG
Molecule: ribosomal RNA, 370 nt
Filed under: uncultured organism
Description: bacterial SSU rRNA
Rfam family: Bacterial small subunit ribosomal RNA
Source: RNAcentral